GAUGAACGCUGACAGAAUGCUUAACACAUGCAAGUCUUUGGCGAAGCUGUGCUUGCACAGCCUAGCCAAGGCGGACGGGUGAGUAACGCGUAAGGAACUUGCCCUGCAGUCAGGGAUAACAGACGGAAACGACUGAUAAGACCUGGUAAAGUCAGGCGGACUCAUGUCCAGCCUGAUGAAAAGAGAUGCUGCAGGAGAGCCUUGCGUCCUAUUAGCUUGUUGGUGGGGUAACGGCCCACCAAGGCGAUGAUAGGUAGCUGGCCUGAGAGGGUGGACGGCCACAAGGGGACUGAGAUACGGCCCUUACUCCUACGGGAGGCAGCAGUGGGGAAUAUUGGACAAUGGGGGCAACCCUGAUCCAGCAAUUCUGUGUGCACGAUGAAGGUUUUCGGAUUGUAAAGUGCUUUCAGCAGGGAAGAAAAAAAUGACGGUACCUGCAGAAGAAGCGACGGCUAAAUACGUG
This 463-nucleotide ribosomal RNA is filed under the name uncultured bacterium. RNAcentral's name for it is "partial 16S ribosomal RNA". It matches the Rfam family "Bacterial small subunit ribosomal RNA", at positions 28 to 507 of the family's 1533-position model. The record is from RNAcentral.